RNAcentral lists this non-coding RNA (230 nucleotides) under Veillonellaceae bacterium. RNAcentral describes it as "T-box sequence". It matches the Rfam family "T-box leader". Rfam says of the family: Uncharged tRNA acts as the effector for transcription antitermination of genes in the T-box leader family. Lineage: Bacteria; Bacillati; Bacillota; Negativicutes; Veillonellales; Veillonellaceae. The record is from RNAcentral.
UUCAAAUCGAGGAUCAAGAAGAGUAGUGAUAAUGAUUUGGUUCAGGGAGCCGCCGGAAGUGGGAGUGCGGUGCAAUAGUUGUCAUGAAUGGACUUGUGAGAUGCGGUCUGAACCGUUUGGUGUAGGAGCCGCCGGGGGUCUCCCGUUAUAGGGAAUAAUGGUGUUGGCCAUGAGUUGGACUUUUAGUCAAUAAGGGUGGUACCGCGGAAUUAAUUCCUUUCGUCCCUUCG